GCCUCAGUGGUCUAGUAGUAUGAUUCGCCCUUCGGGAUUUUCCCGUAAGCUGAUUACAUAAUCAAGCGCUUACGUAAUUGGGUGAGGUCCUGGGUUCAAUUCCCAGCUGGGGCC
This 114-nucleotide transfer RNA is filed under the name Rhizoctonia solani. Its description in RNAcentral is "tRNA-Pro". Lineage: Eukaryota; Fungi; Basidiomycota; Agaricomycetes; Cantharellales; Ceratobasidiaceae. The record is from RNAcentral.